GUGGGGAAUAUUGGACAAUGGGCGAAAGCCUGAUCCAGCCAUGCCGCGUGUGUGAAGAAGGCCUUUUGGUUGUAAAGCACUUUAAGCGAGGAGGAGGCUACCGAGAUUAAUACUCUUGGAUAGUGGACGUUACUCGCAGAAUAAGCACCGGCUAACUCUGUGCCAGCAGCCGCGGUAAUACAGAGGGUGCGAGCGUUAAUCGGAUUUACUGGGCGUAAAGCGUGCGUAGGCGGCUUCUUAAGUCGGAUGUGAAAUCCCUGAGCUUAACUUAGGAAUUGCAUUCGAUACUGGGAAGCUAGAGUAUGGGAGAGGAUGGUAGAAUUCCAGGUGUAGCGGUGAAAUGCGUAGAGAUCUGGAGGAAUACCGAUGGCGAAGGCAGCCAUCUGGCCUAAUACUGACGCUGAGGUACGAAAGCAUGGGGAGCAAACAGGAUUAGAAACCCUGGUAGUCC
RNAcentral lists this ribosomal RNA (451 nucleotides) under uncultured bacterium. RNAcentral describes it as "partial 16S ribosomal RNA". It matches the Rfam family "Bacterial small subunit ribosomal RNA", at positions 354 to 796 of the family's 1533-position model. The record is from RNAcentral.